This 586-nucleotide ribosomal RNA is filed under the name uncultured bacterium. Its description in RNAcentral is "bacterial SSU rRNA". It matches the Rfam family "Bacterial small subunit ribosomal RNA", at positions 338 to 916 of the family's 1533-position model. The record is from RNAcentral.
CCUACGGGAGGCAGCAGUGGGGAAUUUUGGACAAUGGGCGCAAGCCUGAUCCAGCCAUGCCGCGUGCGGGAAGAAGGCCUUCGGGUUGUAAACCGCUUUUGUCAGGGAAGAAAUCCUCUGAGCUAAUACCUCGGGGGGAUGACGGUACCUGGAGAAUAAGCACCGGCUAACUACGUGCCAGCAGCCGCGGUAAUACGUAGGGUGCGAGCGUUAAUCGGAAUUACUGGGCGUAAAGCGUGCGCAGGCGGUUGUGCAAGACAGGUGUGAAAUCCCCGGGCUUAACCUGGGAACUGCACUUGUGACUGCACGGCUGGAGUACGGCAGAGGGGGAUGGAAUUCCGCGUGUAGCAGUGAAAUGCGUAGAUAUGCGGAGGAACACCAAUGGCGAAGGCAGUCCCCUGGGCCUGUACUGACGCUCAUGCACGAAAGCGUGGGGAGCAAACAGGAUUAGAUACCCUGGUAGUCCACGCCCUAAACGAUGUCAACUGGUUGUAGGGAGGGUACCGUUUCAGUACCGUAGCUAACGCGUGAAGUUGACCGCCUGGGGAGUACGGCCGCAAGGGUUGAAACUCAAAGGAAUUGACGG